This 472-nucleotide long non-coding RNA is filed under the name Anolis carolinensis (green anole). RNAcentral describes it as "lncRNA (ENSACAG00000043679.1)". The record is from RNAcentral. Lineage: Eukaryota; Metazoa; Chordata; Lepidosauria; Squamata; Anolidae.
AUGGUACUUGUCAGUGUGCUGCAAAUGGAAACCACCUCUAUGUUGAAAUUAUCCUUCUACAACAUGUCCUACUUGAAACACACAAUACCAAGUUCACUUUCCAGAUCAGGAGGACUUGAUUGUGGAUGUACAGAGGUUAAGCAAAAGCUUCUCUCUCCCACUUCCACCCUUGUAGUACCUCUGAAUGGAUGUAAACUCUGCUCUGGGGUUCAAAAUAUAUGUAUGUAAACAGUUUUUAAAUUUUGUAUUAUGUGUUUUAUUAUGUCAUGUUAUUGUUUUUAUAAGAACUGUUGUUUUAAUGUAUUGUGUAAGGAAUUGAAUUCUUGCCUAUUAUUGUAAGCCGCCUUGAGUCCCCUCAGGUGAGAAAGUUGGGGUAGAAAUGCUGUAAAUAAAUAAACAAAUAAUAAAUUAGCAUUUUGCCAGUAGGUCCGAACUUCCAUGAGGCACAUGUAAAAGCCUCCUGGUGAAAAUG